Molecule: ribosomal RNA, 320 nt
Filed under: uncultured bacterium
Lineage: Bacteria
Description: bacterial SSU rRNA
Rfam family: Bacterial small subunit ribosomal RNA
Source: RNAcentral
UGACGGUACUUGACUAAGAAGCUCCGGCUAAAUACGUGCCAGCAGCCGCGGUAAUACGUAUGGAGCAAGCGUUAUCCGGAUUUACUGGGUGUAAAGGGAGCGUAGACGGCAAAGCAAGUCUGAAGUGAAAUCCCGGGGCUCAACCCCGGAACUGCUUUGGAAACUGUUUAGCUAGAGUGCAGGAGAGGUAAGCGGAAUUCCUAGUGUAGCGGUGAAAUGCGUAGAUAUUAGGAGGAACACCAGUGGCGAAGGCGGCUUACUGGACGGUAACUGACGUUGAGGCUCGAAAGCGUGGGGAGCAAACAGGAUUAGAUACCCUG